Molecule: ribosomal RNA, 97 nt
Filed under: uncultured bacterium
Lineage: Bacteria
Description: partial 16S ribosomal RNA
Source: RNAcentral
CUCCUUGCACACACCGCCCGUCGCUUCAUUGAAGUUGGGUCUGCGCGAGGUGACGGUCUAAUUGGCGUUAUCGAACGCGGGUUUAGCAACAAGGGAG